Molecule: long non-coding RNA, 3442 nt
Organism: Polyodon spathula (Mississippi paddlefish)
Lineage: Eukaryota; Metazoa; Chordata; Actinopteri; Acipenseriformes; Polyodontidae
Exons: 4
Source: RefSeq, a predicted model, not a curated record
UAGACACACACACAAGCUACAUAUUAUUAAUUAUGAGGGAGUGGUUUGACUGAGGGCAUUGGACCUAAAGCAGUUGAAUUGGAUUUCAAGGUUUACUUCAGCGGGUCAUCUCACUUCUGUGAGGUCUUGCUGAUUUAAAAAAAAAAGUAGUAUUAUAAAAUUAUAAAGCAUGGUUGCUCAAUGGAAUUUAGUGUGGUGAUGUAACGAUCUCGAUUCCCGCAGGCAGUGGUUUGACGCGAACCCGGGACACAAAAACUGUGUGGGUGUGAGAAUUUCAAUUUCCGUUCAUCCUGAAGCACAAGCAGUUCUCUCACCUGCGUGAGAUGAAGUGGUCUCCCAACGCACUGAACCCCCACUGGUCAGAGUCCCUGCCGCUUAUCCACACCAUGACUGAGCAAGUGCUGGGACUACACCCCGGGGGCAUGUAGCGCAGACUUCCUCUCAGAGUCCGGUAUUGGGCUGGUCUGGCACUAACUCCCCAACCUGGACGUGGAGAAAACAGAAUGCAGGUAGGAUUUUGGGAGCUUCCCUGGCUGUGAGGUGGCAAGGCUGGUCACUCAAGUGAGCGGACAUCUGAAGGCAACGGGAGAUGAGAUGCUGGAAGGGAACAGGUCAGAACUGUGCAUUGGAGACCCUGGGGCAGUUGGUGGGCAACUGAAAUGAAUGACAGGGCCCCAUGUGUGACCCUAAACAGCCCUGAGGGCCACCAGACCCAACAACACACCCACAUGCCGGAAACCACCAAUUAAAAUACGUACAUAAGAAAUAAUCCAAAAUACAUUCACUAAGCGGGCGGCUGACGGCACGUGCUUCACAGGACAGCGUGUGUUCGUCUUCGCCCUUCAAACUCAGCGCAGGGGUGGAAGUGGUGAGCUGAGCCUGAACAUAAUUGGACAUUACUAAAUUGGGGAGAAAACUAUAAAAAAUCAUGGUGACCACUAAGAAAAAACACAUUCACUAACUAAAAUAUAAGCAAUGUUACCAUUUCAAUUGAAUAACAAAUAUAAUUACUGGUAAUAAAUGUGCAGUUCCUACCAUUAAUGUGACUUUUGGGAGACCAUAGUUUACACCAGCUUAUCGAAGGCAGGUUAGUGCAGCACAUGGUAGCUCAACAGGGAGAUUCCCGUCAGUCAGUCUGUUGCUAAUUUGUCGCUUAUUUAUUACAUUGUCCUCACCACUUUUGGAUCCAUGUGUCCAUUUUAAACUUUCUUUGCUAUCGCUAACUCAGACCUUCUCUCCCCAAUUUCACUGCAGUAAAGUAUCGCACAAAUUAAACUUACUAACAACAACCAUCUCCUAGUAACAGACCUUGCUUCAGUCAUUCUCACGGUGAGACUUGACUAUUAAAACGUGUAUGUUUUAAAGAUAACCAGUAUUUUUCUGAAAAUACAAUGUCUUCUGGUUUAACCUGAUUUAAACUUUUGAUAAGCAUUAAUAAAUAUUUACAAAAUAUUGUGAAAAUCUUAUUUUUGUGAUAUUGUUAGAAAUGCUUUGUAGAUGAGGAACUGGGUAAAGGAAAGGCAGCGCCUUGUAUGAUAUUAUUAUAAUUUAAUUAUCUGACUUGAACGAAUUGAUCAAAAAGCAGAAUAUUGUAACUUCAUUUCCACCAAAAAAGCUAAGAAAACAUAUAGUCCAGGAUGUUUUUUGUGUUAAUGUGUUAAAUUAUUUUAAAACUGUAUUGCAGGAGCUGUGCUCUUGUAAUUACGUUUUUAUAAUUUCUGGUUACCGCUGUUCAUAAUAGGCACCAUCUGUUGACAAGCAGGUUUUAAUUUUUUAGUGAUAUAUAGUAAAGCUACACCGUCUGAAUCACACAGCUAAAAAGAGACCUGUCCCUCUCACAGCUCUUUUUUUUCAACUCUGCUGCAUAAAUGAUCCUGAAACCAGAGCAGAAACACAGGAAUGGGAGCAUUUUUUUCCACUGAAAGGUUACAAUGUUUAAUUCCUGCUUACCAUUAACAGCUUGUUUUUCUGCACAGGUCUGCUCCGCAGUGCUACAGAGCACACCGUGCUAUAUUACAAUUCCAACACUGUUUUUUAUUGUAUAAGCUUGGAGUAGGGUAAAGCUUGGCAAAGUGGCGAGGGCCAUUAUUGCACCCCCAGGGGGCCACAGGUUGUCCACCACUGCCCUGAGGCCUGGAGACACAGGGGCACACAUAUACCAUCACUUGGGUUCUUACUUAGAAUUUUUACCAUAUACUCCUGUCCUCCCUUAGACCUUUUGGAUUGCCUUAGAAAGAACUCUAGCUAAUGUACUUAAGAGGUAAAUACAGGGUGCAUUGACAGUGCAAGGACAAGUCUUCUGAAUAGAUAUAAGCAGGGAUGGAGUCGAGGAUUUUUUUGUUUUUUUCACUAGUAAGAGAGAUAGCGGUCUCCAAGUAAAUUAAGUGUGCCAGUUUUUUUAAUAGAUAUUACGGUAAGUGUUUUGGGCUUUCCUUGUAAGAUUCUGGAUUUUAACAAAUAGUCAGUUCUGUGCAGCUUCCCCGCUGAGUAACCUUAUUAAUAACGUUGUGCAAGAUUUUUCUUUUUUUUUUUUUUUUUAUGAUAAAUGAGAAAAAUGUUUUAGUUUUGAGCUGUGCUGUCUAAUAUAAAAGGCAGAUGGUCAAGGCUGUGCAUGUGUCUGUACUCUCCAACCUCAGCUCUCCUUUCAUUGGCAGGUUUGUUGUUGGGUAGUUCAGCCCCUAUCACAGGAAGCACAAAUCACACACCCUAUCAUGGUCUAGCAUUUCGAACCAGAAGCCAAAGGGUAAGGAAGGCUGUAUUACUCUGAUGACGGAAUAUAACUAGGUCUUCCUCUUAGUGCAAUAGAAUAAUCUAUACCACUGAUUGCACUAAAUUUACAAAGCAGCAGCAGCACCACAAUCUAGGGACUAACUCCCACAAUGAAAAAGUUAAAUUUGUGUGUUUAAAACUGUGCUGGCAGGUUUUACCGAUCUCGGAUUAACACCAAUCAGGGAAUACCUUUGGUUCUGAUCGAGGUCAGCAAAACCAGUCGUUAAUUACUAAAACAGUGCACCCUAUUCACCUGGAGAGAGAUUCCGUCCCAUGAGUGACAAGCUUUGACCCUCAAGACUCUGCAAGUGUGAGGGGAGGACUGAUAGCUUUCUUUAACCUAAUAGGAUUUUUGUGAUUUAAAACAUUCUUUCAAAACUCCCCAAAUUAGAUAGUGAAUGAAAGUUCAUGAAACUUUCCAAAGCAACAUUUAUGUAGAGGUGGUCAGUACUUAAUAAAAGUGCUUAGGAUUAGAGAACUUAGAUGUUGGGUUCACAUUCUGUCAAAUGAAAUGCCGUUUUUCGCCUUUCAUAAAGUAGAAGUUAACAAAAGACUGUAGGAAACGUUCUGAGAAUAAUCCCCUAGUGCAGGGCUUCCCAACCCUGGCCGUGUGGACCCUAUGUGUCUUCUGGCUCUUAAUUACUUAACUCAACUCUUAAACUAAUAAUUGAAC